This 348-nucleotide long non-coding RNA is filed under the name Serinus canaria (Common canary). RNAcentral's name for it is "lncRNA (ENSSCAG00000008934.1)". Lineage: Eukaryota; Metazoa; Chordata; Aves; Passeriformes; Fringillidae. The record is from RNAcentral.
UGUACUCAAGAAAAGAAAAUGCAGAUUGUCAGAAUCCUUCAAAUUUGAUACUCAGCACUGUUAUGAUCUCUUCAUUACCGGAUAUGGAAUCUGGAUAUCAGAACUGAUAUAGUGAAGUACUCCUCUAUUAAACUGAGGACCAACCUAAAAUCAGCAAAGUAACACCGGGCCUAACACAAUCAGGAAAUCUGCGUCUCUUAGAGUGAAAAGCAGCCAACCUGUCUGUCUUCUGCCCUGUCCCAAAACCUCAAUGUAAGUAGUUAGCUUUUGUAACGUAAGCUUUGCAAUCCUAAGAGAGUUCUAUGUAAUGCCAAAAACAAAGCACAAUGGCUUAAAACUGAAGUUGUC